AUACGGAGGGAGCUAGCGUUGUUCGGAAUUACUGGGCGUAAAGCGCACGUAGGCGGUUACUCAAGUCAGAGGUGAAAGCCCGGGGCUCAACCCCGGAACUGCCUUUGAAACUAGGUAACUAGAAUCCUGGAGAGGUGAGUGGAAUUCCGAGUGUAGAGGUGAAAUUCGUAGAUAUUCGGAAGAACACCAGUGGCGAAGGCGGCUCACUGGACAGGUAUUGACGCUGAGGUGCGAAAGCGUGGGGAGCAAACAGGAUUAGAUACCCCAGUAGUCC
RNAcentral lists this ribosomal RNA (274 nucleotides) under uncultured bacterium. RNAcentral describes it as "partial 16S ribosomal RNA". It matches the Rfam family "Bacterial small subunit ribosomal RNA", at positions 523 to 796 of the family's 1533-position model. The record is from RNAcentral.